GAGAGAGAACCAGAGAGACAAAAGGACGCAGGGACAGAGAGAGAUAGAGAGAGACACAGGGCCAGAGAGAGGAAAAAAGGGCCACAGAAAGGCAGAAAGAGAGAUACGUAGAGAGAGGAAAGACAGAGAAAAUGAGACAGAGAAUGAGAAAAAUAGAGGGACAGAGAGACAGAAAAAGACAGAGACAGAGACAUAGGGAGAGAGAUAGGAGAACAGACAGUCAGAGAGAGACAAAGAGAGACAGAAAAAGGGAACAACAGGAGUGGGGGGCAAAGAGAAAUCAAGAGACAGAGAGAGAGAGACAGAGACACACACACACACAGGAGAGAGUGCGAAGGACAGAGACAGGGAGACACUAGAGAUAAAGAGAAUCAGAGAGACAGGAAGAUAGAGGUGGAGAGAGAGACAGAGAGAGAGCCUCCGCACAUUUAGAGGGAAGAAGUCACACCUGACCCUGGUCCCCCAGUCCAGCGCCUUGACCAUAGCUUUCAGGUGUUACCAGGCAGCAGAAUGACUGUGGGGCACAUUCAAGCCCUGGCCAGGUCAGGGGAGGGAGGAGGCUAUGAAGCCCAUGACCAUUGGCCUCCAUGUCUGCCCAGCUGUCCACCUCUGCAUGAGGAUGAAGUCAAGCAAUGAGAAAGGUUAUCUAGGUGUGAGCUGGCCAAGAGGGGAGCUGCCAGGCAGCCCUUGGCCCUCAGGAGCUGGGCCCGCCCAGAGCAGGAGCAGAACUAAGAGGUGACAUUAUGAGUUCACUGCCUUCUUGACCAUCAAAACAAGCCAAGAACACAUCUCAGAGCUGCUUUCAACAAAGUGGGCUUUCCAUGUCUUCUAAAU
RNAcentral lists this long non-coding RNA (834 nucleotides) under Equus caballus (horse). RNAcentral describes it as "lncRNA (ENSECAG00000047007.1)". Lineage: Eukaryota; Metazoa; Chordata; Mammalia; Perissodactyla; Equidae. The record is from RNAcentral.